GCUCGGGUGGUGGAAUCGGUAGACACGCUGGACUUAAAAUCCAGUGGACAGAAAUGUCCGUAUGGGUUCAAGUCCCAUCCCGAGUA
This 86-nucleotide transfer RNA is filed under the name Flavobacteriaceae bacterium. RNAcentral describes it as "tRNA-Leu". It matches the Rfam family "tRNA". Rfam says of the family: Transfer RNA (tRNA) molecules are approximately 80 nucleotides in length. Their secondary structure includes four short double-helical elements and three loops (D, anti-codon, and T loops). Further hydrogen bonds mediate the characteristic L-shaped molecular structure. tRNAs have two regions of fundamental functional importance: the anti-codon, which is responsible for specific mRNA codon recognition, and the 3' end, to which the tRNAs corresponding amino acid is attached (by aminoacyl-tRNA synthetases). tRNAs cope with the degeneracy of the genetic code in two manners: having more than one tRNA (with a specific anti-codon) for a particular amino acid; and 'wobble' base-pairing, i.e. permitting non-standard base-pairing at the 3rd anti-codon position. Lineage: Bacteria; Pseudomonadati; Bacteroidota; Flavobacteriia; Flavobacteriales; Flavobacteriaceae. RNAcentral also lists the same sequence under 1 other name. The record is from RNAcentral.